CACGGCUAUAAAUAGCUUUCUAAAUGAACUGGUUUUGGUCAAUAAGGCGAAGAAUAUAGUGCAAAUCAAAUUGGUAUAGGAAGAUGUGGUAUGAGUGGCAAUGAGACAACUCUCCAUCCAAAUAACAAUUUAUAAAAGUAAAUCAUUAUAGGUCAAUGUACGACCUUCAACACGGAGCCUUGGCUCACACCGAACAACAAGCUAUAAAGGGCCUCAAAAUUACAAGUGAAAAACCAUUCAAAUGGGAAAACCAACGAUCUAAUGUACAUAUUUACAAUUAAACUUGCAGGCCUCUUUCAUGACCCACAAAUUAAAAUAUAUGAAAACAUCAAAAUAAAAAGGAAUGAGUGUGUAAAGGUUAUUCUGAAUCAUAUAUUUUGAAACAUUCAGAAAAAAAUCAGCAAUAUCCUCACAGUGAGUAAAAGGUUUUAAAAAGAAUUUGUUUUUAACAAAGAGGUUUAAAUUGCCAUCUAAAACUUUUAAGAGCACAAAGCACACACCUUAAAACUAUCAAUGCUUACUACCCUAAGCAUCACAAAAACCUUGCAGAACAGGUGUAAGGAUCUUAAUAAUGAUCAAUAUCUAGGCUUUGUUUAAAUAACCAUGAAAAUAUUUCAAAUUCAAAUAAAACAGCGAUUACGGUUUUUUAUAUCGACUCGUCAAAGUAACAAAUAAUACGUGUUGGCUUUUGUUAUGCACUUUAACUGUGCAGUCAUUUCACGUGAAAUUAAUAACUAAGCGUCCAUUUAACGGCAAAUUAAUGCUGGUGGAGAUUUAUUUCCCCGAGGGUAUCACCAGUCCAGUAGUCAGCACUUCUGUGUUCAUUUGAGUUAUCAUUGGUAUGUUCAUAAUUACAAAUAAACUGUAACAAAACUUUGAAUUUUUGAAAUACUAAUUCUUUUCUUCCCAAGG
RNAcentral lists this long non-coding RNA (912 nucleotides) under Mytilus galloprovincialis (Mediterranean mussel). Lineage: Eukaryota; Metazoa; Mollusca; Bivalvia; Mytilida; Mytilidae. The record is from RNAcentral.